RNAcentral lists this microRNA precursor (84 nucleotides) under Bombyx mori (domestic silkworm). RNAcentral describes it as "mir-2807 microRNA precursor family". It matches the Rfam family "mir-2807 microRNA precursor family". The record is from Rfam by way of RNAcentral. Lineage: Eukaryota; Metazoa; Arthropoda; Insecta; Lepidoptera; Bombycidae.
UUAACUUAAAUUUGUAUGCAGUCGGAACAGCGCCCCUAGCGGCAAACGUAGGCAAACGUGCCAACUCCAUACAAAUCUCAGUUA